CAGACCCCAACAAGUGGCGCAGCGAGCAGGGUCAGCAGGGGGAGUCGCCUGGGAGGACGUGGAAAUUAAGGUUUUCACCAAUGACAUUACUUGGAUGCCGUCCCCCUAUAUGGACAAAGACAACAUAAAACGGAAAACAGGAAUUAUAAUCAGCACAUAUCAAUUUGGAGUGGAAGGACUUCCAAUAUGUAUGGGAAAUAGUCCUCAUUGUCUCCGAAAAUCGCAUGAAGCCUGGGCUGUUCACUAUAAUCAUAGUCAUGUGGCUGCGAAAACUGUUAUUAUUGUAACUAAAAGCUUUUAAUAUAAUCAUACUGUAUAUAGUAAUGAAACUAUUCAUAGUUCUUUACUUUUUUGUCCUAUUCUAGAGGUUUCUCCUAAUAUUGAGGUGCUGGAGUGACAACAAUGUCGGGGAACUAAACCCCGGAUUUUUUAAAAUACAAUAAAAUGUAAAUAACUGA
Molecule: long non-coding RNA, 458 nt
Organism: Macaca mulatta (Rhesus monkey)
Lineage: Eukaryota; Metazoa; Chordata; Mammalia; Primates; Cercopithecidae
Source: RefSeq, a predicted model, not a curated record